GGCUCAGAUUGAACGCUAGCGGCAUGCCUUACACAUGCAAGUCGAACGGCAGCACGGGGCAACCUGGUGGCGAGUGGCGAACGGGUGAGUAAUGCAUCGGAACGUGCCAUUGAGUGGGGGAUAACGUAGCGAAAGUUGCGCUAAUACCGCAUAUUCUGUGAGCAGGAAAGCAGGGGACCGCAAGGCCUUGCGCUCUUUGAGCGGCCGAUGUCAGAUUAGCUAGUUGGUGAGGUAACGGCUUACCAAGGCGACGAUCUGUAGCGGGUCUGAGAGGAUGAUCCGCCACGCUGGAACUGAGACACGGUCCAGACUCCUACGGGAGGCAGCAGUGGGGAAUUUUGGACAAUGGGCGCAAGCCUGAUCCAGCCAUGCCGCGUGAGUGAAGAAGGCCUUCGGGUUGUAAAGCUCUUUCGGCCGGGAAGAAAUCGCAUGGGUUAAUACCCUGUGUGGAUGACGGUACCGGAAUAAGAAGCACCGGCUAACUACGUG
Molecule: ribosomal RNA, 489 nt
Filed under: uncultured bacterium
Lineage: Bacteria
Description: bacterial SSU rRNA
Rfam family: Bacterial small subunit ribosomal RNA
Source: RNAcentral